AGCAACAUAAACCAUAUUUCCCAUUAGGAUUGUUGCCACUGAAUGUUAAUUUUUUGUUAGCAUAAAAAAAUUGUUCAUGUUCAUCGAAUUCAAGCCUACUUCAUGCCCAAAGUUUGAUGAUCAGGAACUUACAUAUCUAUCACAGUCUUUCCAUUACAAAAUCUCCCAGUUGGUCCUUGAAAGAAAUCAAUCCCAUAAGGAUACUAAUUUGCCUUUGCUAUAGAGCUCAAGUAAUUGUUGUUGCCAUUAUCAACCAAAGAAUCACCAAACACAAACAUAGCUGGGACUUGAGGUGCACUGAGCACCCUAAUUGAACAUUGUACUAGUACAAAAUUAGCAACAAAGAAACAACUAAUCAUGCUCAUUUUCUCCUUCUCGAGAAGCUGAAUAUGAAGCAGAGUACAAGAUAUUAUUGUUCUAGUUUUUCAUAAUAUAUUGACUGUUAGAGAUUUGAUGGUUAGAGAAGUCACUUUCUUAUGAAACGGCUAGCAGCUGAAGAACAUAUGAAAUUCUUGCAUUUUGGUAUACUUUAACCCUGUUUUGCUCCUGUUUUGGUGGUUUUUUUAAAAGAUUCUUGUUCUUUUUUGCAGUUAUCCGUUUCAUUUUAAUGCAGCAGUGCUGAUUGCAUGUUGCAGUUUGGAGAAAUGAGAUGAUGACAAAACUUCGAAACCUAUAUUUUCCUGAUGGUUGAAACUGUUAAAGUCAGAAGGCAGUCCAGUGGAUGUUCGCUGGGCUAGGAUCAAGUUCACAGCUUCUGUUGCCUGAAAUGCGUCCCAGAAAACAUGCUGGUUGCGAUCUCUACAAGGAGUAAUGAAAGUUAUGUGUUUCGUUUUGAUGCAGCAGUAUCGGUUGCAUGUUGGAGUUUGGACAAAUAAGAUGGAGGACAAAAGUUUGAAACCUAUCUUCCCUGAGGUUUGAAGUUAAAAGGUUUUUUUUCUUGCACCAAAACCCCACAGGUUGAAUUGCCUUUUCAUGGAAUAAAUAAAGAUUCACUGCUGUGAUACUUCAACUUUUUUAAUCCGCUUUAAGCAUGCGGCCUUCAGAAGGUUGAAACUUUAUAUUUGUUUCAUGAUUUAUAUUUUUAUGCAAUACAUGCAAGCAUGCAUAAAUAAUCAGAAUCAAAAUAACCUUUGGAUUCAUGGUGUCGUAAUGUUUGUUUAAGAAUUAAUUCACGAGCUCAACAGUUGAUAUACUUUAAAUGAAAGCAUAAAAAUGGAAGUGGAAGAGGAUACAUCUUGAAAUAUUGGAGCAUCCAAUAGUGUCCAAAUGUUAUACACAUUAAAAUCCUAAAAUUUGCGUGCCCAUGUAAGAGUCAUGUAGAAUUUAUCGUGCAGUAAUCAUCAGUGAUUAUGUCUUACGUGCCAUUUUCUUGGCAAAAGAACAUAAUGCUGGUGUUACUACCUUUGAGUAUAUGUCUGUAGAAAUUUCUGUUAGGAGGUUUUAGUUCUGCUGUCUGAAUAAGUUUUUUUUUGACUGGUGGUCUUAGAAUGGAAAAUAUGAUUCAUGUAGCCGACCCGAAACAUUUGGGAUAAAGGCUUGGUGGUGGUUGUUUGUUGGUGGUCUUAGAAUUUUCUCAUAAUUAUCUAGCUAUGCAGAUUCCCCACUAGCCUCGGAAAAAUUUGGUCUGUUUCUACUUUCUAAGCCUUACUAAAGUGGUUAUUGGUAGAUCGUUCAUACUGACCGACUACAUUUUUUUAUGCCUUCAAUAUUUGUCUUUAGAAAUUGAUAGUCCACAGCUUGAUGAGCAAACUCUAGCACUAUGAGAAAAAAGACCAUCCUAUAGCCGCGUCAUCUGCUGAAUAUUGAUCGGAUAACAGUCAGAAGGUCUGGUGAAUGCUCGCUGGGCUAGGAUCAAGUUCACAGCUUCUGUUGGAUGGAAUGCGUCUUAGAAAACAUGCUGGUUGUGGUCGCUACAAGGUUAAUGAAAGUGCUGGUAGCAUCUUGCGGAGAAAUGAGGUGAUGACUAAAGCUUGGAACUUAUUUUUCCAGAGGUUUGAAACUGAUAAAAAGUUCCUUUUACAGCACCAAAACCGCAGAAUCCUGGAUUCAGGCAAAGGUAUUUUCUUUAUUCUCUUUAAAUACGCGAUCCGUUGGAUAUAAACCUGGAUUUCUCUGGAUCAUAUUAAAGGUGCCUUUGACUGCACAAAGCUCUGAAUUUAUGGUGAAGGUUGAGAAUUUUAACUCACACUCAAAACAGGAACUUAUGUAACAUUUAGUCUCGGUACAAGCACAAGCAUGCGCACGAAACAAUACUAAAUUUUUACCAAAAUUUGGAAGUGCUUGCACACGAACAGCGUACACAUUACAAUUGAAAACAUUCAAGGUGGGGAUGAAGAUUGAAUUCCACAGAAAAAUGUUCUUCAUUUAUUUCUCUCUCUCUCAUCGUUUUGCAGAUACACGUCUGUUAUUAUAUUGAGAGUUACCAUGUAGUGAUUAUGAUGUGAUACUUAGAGUGGCAACUGACGCAGAUGCAUCAUGAUGAUGUGACUGUUAAGAGCUAGUUACGUAUUCCUCCUGAAAGCAAUAAUGGUAGAUAUCAACUCAAAUCUAUGGUGAAGUAAUGGGACUAAGUUCUUGAUGUGAUGCAUUUCCACUCAGCGACAGAAAGUAGUAAUAUUUGAUGUAAAUUUGGAUGGAAAGAUAGGCAUGCUUCUUGGAUCAAUGAUUAUGUUGGCCAUUUUUUCGCCUGCGCGAAAUCGCGAUUAAUGUGUUUGCUUCAUUAAUCUCUCUUUUAACAGACCAAUUAUUAGUAAACAUUUCAUCUUUACGCGAAAAUAUCUUGCUAGUAGGUGCUACUCGCAUCCACGCCAUUUUCGAUUAGACAUCAAAGCGUGCGAUUAAUCUUUCAUUGUUAGUCAGAAUUAGACGCUAGCUUCGCCUCUUUUUUUUUUUUUUUUU
Molecule: long non-coding RNA, 2898 nt
Organism: Asparagus officinalis (garden asparagus)
Lineage: Eukaryota; Viridiplantae; Streptophyta; Magnoliopsida; Asparagales; Asparagaceae
Exons: 4
Source: RefSeq, a predicted model, not a curated record